This 204-nucleotide unclassified non-coding RNA is filed under the name Hevea brasiliensis (rubber tree). The record is from RNAcentral. Lineage: Eukaryota; Viridiplantae; Streptophyta; Magnoliopsida; Malpighiales; Euphorbiaceae.
CUUCCCCUAGAGUCUUAAGAUUCCUCAUUUUGUAUAUCUCGUUUCCCCAAACAGAGUCUUCGAAGCCGCCGGCCAUAAUCUCCGGUUGCUUUGCUAAAUCUACGGUGACCACUUUCCGAUCUCCUCUCAGUUCCCGUUGAAUAGAAAAUGGCUGACGGUGAGGAUAUUCAGCCCCUUGUUUGUGACAAUGGAACUGGAAUGGUU